This 483-nucleotide ribosomal RNA is filed under the name uncultured bacterium. RNAcentral's name for it is "partial 16S ribosomal RNA". It matches the Rfam family "Bacterial small subunit ribosomal RNA", at positions 28 to 507 of the family's 1533-position model. The record is from RNAcentral.
GACGAACGCUGGCGGCGUGCUUAACACAUGCAAGUCGAACGCUGAAGCUCAGCUUUUGUUGGGUGGAUGAGUGGCGAACGGGUGAGUAACACGUGAGUAACCUGCCUCCUUCUUUGGGAUAACGCCCGGAAACGGGUGCUAAUACUGGAUAUUCACUGGUCUUCGCAUGGGGGUUGGUGGACAUGGUUUUUCUGGUGGGGGAUGGGCUCGCGGUCUAUCAGCUUGUUGGUGGGGUGAUGGCCUACCAAGGCUUUGGCGGGUAGCCGGCCUGAGAGGGUGACAGGUGAAAUGGGUAAUGAGAUACGGCCCAGAGUGCGACAGGAGGCAGCAGUGGGGAAUAUUGGGCAAUGGGCGGAAGCCUGAUGCAGCGACGCCGCGUGAGGGAUGGAGGCCUUCGGGGUGUGAACCUCUUGCGAGAAUGGUCAAGCCGCAACAAUGGGUGUGGUGAGGGUAGUGGGUAAAGAAGCGCCGGCUAACUACGGG